RNAcentral lists this unclassified non-coding RNA (420 nucleotides) under fungal sp. RNAcentral's name for it is "partial internal transcribed spacer region". The stretch from base 1 to 46 matches the Rfam family "Eukaryotic small subunit ribosomal RNA", at positions 1786 to 1831 of the family's 1831-position model. Lineage: Eukaryota; Fungi. The record is from RNAcentral.
AAGUCGUAACAAGGUUUCCGUAGGUGAACCUGCGGAAGGAUCAUUAACACGUAUCCAACGUUAAACCCCUGUGAACCUUAAUAUCGCCGCUCCUAGGGCUCAGUCGCGAAAACUAGCAAUCCCCUGUACUCGUCCGAGAAAUGUAAGGAGAAGGGGACUUCUGGCAGUGCACCCUAGUUGAGCGCUUGGAGUUAGUGGCUUGUUUUUCCCCAAGCAAUCAGUGAAUGUCAGUGUCAUUGGUUGUGUAAGGAUUUCGCCUAAACAGCGAUCACUGGAGGUCGAUCACCGGCCGGUGAAACAAGCAACAGAAGCUUUAAUGCUUCCCUCACCGCCCCCACUUCCUAUUGCCGCCCGCUGCUAACAACGCCGGGUAUUUAAAAACGUACUAAACAACUGUUAACAAUGGAUAUCUUGGUUCUC